RNAcentral lists this transfer RNA (49 nucleotides) under Geckolepis maculata. RNAcentral's name for it is "partial tRNA-His". RNAcentral also lists the same sequence under 1 other name. Lineage: Eukaryota; Metazoa; Chordata; Lepidosauria; Squamata; Gekkonidae. The record is from RNAcentral.
UGUCAGUAUAGUUUAACCAAAACAUUAAGCUGUGGAUUUAAAAAUAAGG